Molecule: long non-coding RNA, 4737 nt
Organism: Pan troglodytes (chimpanzee)
Lineage: Eukaryota; Metazoa; Chordata; Mammalia; Primates; Hominidae
Exons: 4
Source: RefSeq, a predicted model, not a curated record
GAGCUGCGACCCGCUAGGCCGGGAGCCGACUGCGCCCUCAAACCCCGCGGCGGCUCCCUCCCCGGAGGGGGCGCGCGAGGCCACCACCGAGAGCCUCUUCCUAGAGGAGCCGGAAGCAUCGGGAGCCGCGGUACCCGCCCAUCUUCCGGCCAGGAUGUGUGGUCCGGGGUUCCUAUUGAUGGUUAGGAGCAGGAUUUCGGGGAUGAAGGCGGCAGCAGCAAGAGGAGGCUGCGACUGCGGACCCCAGAUUCGUCCCCCUCCACCACACACAACGCCAAGACGGGCCCCAGGAGGGCGUGAAGAGAAGACUUCCUUUCCUCUCCUCUCGCCUCCUGGCGCUGGCCGUAUGAAGCUGUCUCCCAGAAGCAUUAGCAGAGGAGCCCUGUGGGAGAAAUGAGGAGUGACCCAAAAGAAACUUGCUCAAGGACAGCCUCCUUAAAGCAGAAUUCCAUAUACCCCAACCUGCAAAAGAAGACUUUACGUGAAAUGUUACAGCCCAUAACAGCUGCAGCCUUGACUAUUAAAUCUCAAAGGGAAUAAAAAAGUCACCUGACAGUUAAAGCAGAGGACUAUACUUGGGGCCAAGAAUAUGGGCUACUUCAUAUGGAAGAACUCCAGCAACCGGGAGGUAGCUCAUCAGAACGUUAGGCAUUUCUGCUACCAGGAGACACCUGGACCCUGUAAGGCUGUGAGCUGAUUCUGGGAACUUUGCCAUCAGUGGCUGAGGCCAGAGACCCACACCAAAGAACAGAUCCUGGAAUUGCUGGUGCUGGAGCAGUUCUUGACUAUCCUGCCAGAGGAGCUCCAAGCCCAGAUGUUAGAGCAUCAGCCAGAGAACAGAGAGGAAAUGGUGAUCAUAUCGGAGGAUUUGGAAAGAGAGCUUGAUGAAACAGAAUGUCGGGUGUGAUUAAAAGGCACAUGAACACCCUAGCCAGAGAAAGAAGCAGCCAUACACCCAGGGAAGCAAGGUUGCAGAGCUCAAUCUCCACUCCCUCUCGCUUGAUAUUUGCAGCCAGUGCAUGUGGUAUGGGACUGCACUCAGAAUAUCAUCAUCAAGCAGCACAGGAGCCACCAACUAUUCCUUUCCAGCCAAUGAAAAGACAGCUUAAAUGGGAAUAUCCAGAAUUCCAGGCCAUUCAUGAGCAAGGUGAGCAUCGCAGUCCAUCUCGAGAGAAAGGGAGUGGUUGAAAGCUCUGCCAGCUACCCAGGCUGAACAGCAUCAGGAGCAUCUCAGACAUAAACCACCAUGCUGAAUCAGAUGGAAGGUCCAUCUCCUGAAGUACUACAUUCCAGCUUACGUGGCACCAACAAGACCUGAUGCAGAAUGGCGUAAUGCUGUCCUCCCUCACAUCAGCCUCAGCAGGAAGUUGUACACCAGCUUCCGUAAUUUCCUUUAAAAAGCUAUUCUAGGCCACUGUCAUUAAAAAAAACCUUUACUUUUUUGUAAUAUUUUCAUAAUAUAUAACUUCAUAGCCCAACCUCUACUACACACUUAGUGCUUUCUCUGUAAAGUAGAAUUUACUUUUUUGUCUUAAAAUUACCUUUUCUGAAUCCCCUGGAUCACCUAAAUCCAUUUUGUACCCUCUUUUCUGUUCCCUUUUAAUAGAAGCUACAUCAUUGACCUGAUCUUCUAGACUCAUCUAAACAUUUUUAUUCUUUAGUCCCUGUUGUCUUUAAUUCAAACAUUACACAUAAUUCUAAAAUAUCCCUUAGGUCAGUCAUCUUCAGUAUUACUUCCUCAUUGGACCCAUUACUUCCAGCUUCAGUAUGCUUGAAUUUGUCCUGACUCUCAAUAGAAACAAAUUAUUUUUCUCUUACCUGUCACUUUCCACAUGCUAUCUUCAGACCUUCCACUCACUUUCAUCCUCCUCUACUUUUGAUACUCAUUUUUACUCCCAUUGCUCAACACAACUCUCUUCUUGAUUGUUCCUUUAUUCUAUCUCUUCCUUUGCUCAGUGGUAUGGACUGAAUGUUUGUGGUCCCACCAACAACCCCUAAACAAUUUAUACAUUGAAGCCCUAACCUCCAAUGAGUUGGUAUUAUAGAUGGGGCCUUUGAGAGGUAAUUAGUUCUUGAGGGCAGGGCCCUGUAUGAUAGGAUUAAUGCCCUUUUAAAAGCAGUCGCCAGAGAGCUUGAUAUUUCUCCUAUGCACACGUGAAGGUAAGGUCUUGUGAGCACAACAGCAAAAAGGUGAUCAUCUGAAAGCCAGAAGGAGAGCCCUCACCAGAAACCAACCAUGUUAGUACCCUGAUCUCAACCUCCAGAACUGUGAGAAAAUAAAUUUCUCUUAUUUAAACCACCAGUAUAGUAUUUUGUUAUGGCAGCCCAACUUAACACCACUUCAUGUCCCAAUUCUGUGGCAAUAAUGUGCAUGAGAGGUCUCCUUCCAUUUACCAGCUAUCUUAUUCCUUGCUUACAAGGAAUAUAUUCUUACAGAUAUCACAAACAGGGAAGACAGUUAUCUGCAUGGGGCAUAGCUUGCUUGCUUAAAGAAAAGGACAGAAGUUUAAUACUAGUGAAGAACCAUUUACAUUUUCUAAGGGCCAUUUUUUCACAGAAAACCAUUGUGGGCUCCCAAAAGUACAAGUAACCCAAUUUAGUAUUUUAUUCAAAGUGAAACAUACACUUAGGAAUAGAAUUCAUGAAAAAUUUUACAAAUAUAAGAUGCAUACUCCAUUCACAGUGGCUAUAUCCUAGAAAAUCCCUAAGUAUUACUCUGUACUAUAUUUUUUUUCCUUAAUUUGGGGAAACUUUAGUUACUGAGAUUAUACCCUUGAGAUACGGAGAUCUUUAUGAUUCAAGACGCAGACUUAACUAGCCUAGUUUUCCUUUUCUUUACUCUGGCUCCACAUCUUCCAAAUGAGUCUAGUUGGAAACUCUCACCCCUUAGUUUCCUCCCAGUCAGCACCAGUUUGGGGGAGUUAAGGAAUUAUUUUUCAUUUCCAGCUCUGGCUCUAAAUAAUGUGUCUCCAGCAGUGAAAUGUAGGCCAAGAAAGGAACCCACUUCUCAGAAGCAUUGGAAAAGGCAAAUUAUGAAGGUUCAUAAUACAAUAUAAUAAAAAUUCUUUAGUCAUCCACUAUUACAGAUACUAAGCCAAAUUUUAAAUUCAUACUGUAUAACAAAUUUGAAUUUAGAAAUAAUUCCUCUUUAUUCUUUUCAUUUCAACCCAAGGUUACUUACUGAUAUAGUUCAGAUAUGUGUCUCCACUCAAAUCUCAUGUUGAAUUGUAAUCCCCAAUAUUGGAGAUAGGGCCUGGUGGGAGGUGACUGGAUCAUGGAAGUGGAUCCUUCAUGAAUGGUUUAGCACCACCUUCUUGGUACUGUUCUGAUACUGAAUUCUUGUGUGAUCUCGUUGUUUACAAGUGUGUGGCAUCUCUCCCUUCUCUCUCUUGCUCUUGCUCCUGCCAUGUAAGAAUCCUGCUCUCCCUUUGCCUUCUGCCAUAAUUGUAAGUUUUCUGAGGCCUCCUCAGAAGCCAAGCAGAUACCAGCAUCAUGCUUCCUGUACAGCCUACAGAACCAUGAGCCAAGUAAACCUCUUUUCUUUAUAAAUUACCCAGUCUCAGGUAUUUCUUUAUAGAAAUGUGAGAAUGAACUAAUACACUAACUCUCAAACAUAACUUUUUAUGUAUCCACAUCAUUUCCUAAAAGUUUGUAGAAAUCUUAAAAUAUUAUAUUUUAAUUCCGUCUUUCCCAUCUGAAAGCACUGACAUUCCACAUUUUUUCAAGAAAAAAUAUUUGGUUAGAAACACAGUCAAGUUUGUCUUCUGAGUGUGUACAUUUUAUAAAGAAAAUAAAAAACCUUUUAUAAUAUAAACCCUGGGAAAGAUUUUGGUCCAUAGCCUAGAAACACAUUUGUAAUAAGUUGCUUAAGUGAAAUUCAUGACAUUUUAGCAUGUAUUUUAUUCUUGUUUAUUUCUUUACUGAUAUGUCAUACACUCUUUUUGUUCUAACAUUUUGAUUUGGCAGAGCCAGUACCCACCUAUACUACAACUUUCUUAUGCCAGCACAAGAAUGCUAUAUUCAAAAUGCUUUCCAUGUAUUACCUUCUUUUAUCCUCAGAUAUCCUUGGCAGAUAGUAGGGCAGAUAUUACGCUCAUCUUAUUGAAGAAUAUUCUGGGUAUAAGGAAGUCAAAUAACUUGUCAACAGUUACAAGGUUAUGAGGUAAAGAAGCAAUAAUCUCCAAAGCUACAGCUAUUCAUACAAAGACAAUACAUAAACCGUUACAUUAUAAGUGUCUAGUGCACUGCAAAGAAGACUUAUGAGUGUUUAGCUAGAAGACUGAAGGAAUUCAGGAAAUGCCACUCCAAAAUAUGCCAAUUUGGUAUAUGGGUUAAUUCUAGCCAAAGGCACUUGAAAAACAACAAAUGUAAGGAGAAGCUUUCUCUGAACUCCCCCUAUCUGCCUAAAGACAGAUCCUCCAAAAGGAGCUCAGUUGUCAUCAAUCCCCUCCCUGGGAGUUUCAUCAAAUGGGGAAGAUUAACUCUAUCACAGGAGAAGAGGCUAGAAGUUGACACCACACCUAGACAAACUUCUUCAAAAACUAUUAUCUCUUCUUCUGAGGACCCAAUAAUCUUUCCCAAAAAUUAUUUCUCCCCUAAAUUGCCUAUAUCUCACCUCCUCUCCCCUGUGAAGUAGAGAUGUAAACUCCUGAAUCUCACUGGUUGUUUAGGUGUAUGCUUUCUUUUCUAUACUGCCCUCAUGCACAUAAUAAAAUUGUAUAUCUUUUCUCAUGUUAA